Molecule: ribosomal RNA, 328 nt
Filed under: Acinetobacter pittii
Lineage: Bacteria; Pseudomonadati; Pseudomonadota; Gammaproteobacteria; Moraxellales; Moraxellaceae
Description: bacterial LSU rRNA
Rfam family: Bacterial large subunit ribosomal RNA
Source: RNAcentral
CGUGAGACAGUUCGGUCCCUAUCUACCGUGGGCGCUGGAAAUUUGAGAGGAUCUGCUCCUAGUACGAGAGGACCAGAGUGGACGAACCUCUGGUGUACCGGUUGUGACGCCAGUCGCAUCGCCGGGUAGCUAUGUUCGGAAGGGAUAACCGCUGAAAGCAUCUAAGCGGGAAGCCUACCUCAAGAUAAGAUUUCCCUAGGAAUUUAUUCCUCUAAAGAGCCGUUCGAGACUAGGACGUUGAUAGGUUGGAUGUGGAAGCAUAGUGAUAUGUGAAGCUGACCAAUACUAAUUGCUCGUGAGGCUUGACUAUACAACACCCAAGCAGUUG